This is a long non-coding RNA of Morone saxatilis (striped sea-bass), 309 nucleotides long. RefSeq lists it as uncharacterized. The transcript is spliced from 3 exons. NCBI's taxonomy places the organism in Eukaryota, Metazoa, Chordata, Actinopteri, Moronidae. The record is from RefSeq and is a predicted model, not a curated record.
UACAGGAAGUAAAAGAAGAAAAAGCGUAGUCUUGUGACAGGCAGGUGAGGAAGCAGUCGAAAUUUCCUUUGGGUGGGCAGUAUCCAACAUUUUGCCGAGAUGUCUGGUCUGGGCUUGGAAAAGAGAUGGCUACCUGCUCAGCUGCUGCUCCUGUGGAUGCUGACCAACAUCUCUGAGUCCAGAGUGUUUUUUUCUGCUCCUGAUGCUGUUACACUUGAGGAAUACUCUAAAGCCAACAUCACCAUUACUUCAAGGUAACCACAGAAACACUUUUAAGAAACAUUGUUGAGUGUUCAAUGAAUGGAGCUC